Long non-coding RNA from Panicum virgatum (switchgrass), 1904 nucleotides. RefSeq lists it as uncharacterized. The record is from RefSeq and is a predicted model, not a curated record. The transcript is spliced from 4 exons. Lineage: Eukaryota; Viridiplantae; Streptophyta; Magnoliopsida; Poales; Poaceae.
UUGUGGUAUCAACUUCAUCAUUAUUCAUUACAAAAGUUGCCCUGCAUUUUCUUUUAGGAUAAAUGAAGCCCUUGUUUAAAAAAAAGGAUAAAUUGAAAAAAGUGAUUUCUUAACGAUAGGGAAGAGAUGCCUUGGGGUAUGCUUGUUUUGCAUUUUUGUUAGUGUUAUAUUAUAUAUGUGAAUAUCCUUUGUACUAAAUCUGAUGGAAAAGGGCCUCCAACAACUUGUUGCCAGUCUUUUCCCCCACUUCAAUUGUUCUUUCAAUUUGUUUAUAAGUAUUACUGUUCCCUCUUGUAAAUAUGCAGGCCACACCUGGCAUUUGUAUAUUCAUGGAUAGAACUGGGAGUCCAGUAGUAUUUAGCUGCAUGUGUGCAGCUCAUUGUCUUACUUUGUCCUACGGUAUAGCAAAUUGGGUUUCUCAAAUUUCAGUUUAUUGGUAAUAUGUUAUUAGGACAAAACUUAUGUGUGGUCAUUGCAUAUAUUGUCCAACUACCUUAUCUUUCCCAUAUUGCAUAUUGCUAAUCUUUGUUCUUCCUUAUUUGCGGCUUGUGAAUCGAUUGUCACAGUAAAACCUCAUGGCUCAUUCCUGCAGUUCUGAAUGCUUGAAAACCACAGCCCAUAUGUCCGCAAGGUUGUUACCACUCCCACUUUGUUCUAUAGAUUUUUUUUUGUUCUGCAGAUGUCGUCUUUAAUCACAUGGUCUUCAGUAUAUUUAAUCCGUUAUUAGCUUUAUUUGGUGUAUAGACAAUGUUAUGUGGGAAAAAAUAACUACACAUUAUGUAAAAAAUUGUAAUCAUCAAUGCUAGCAUUUAUAUUGCCACUAGCUGCAGUUCACUAUAUCUGUCCUUUGAUUAAGUUUUGUCCAAAAUUUUCAGAGUUUCCGCUGCUUCAGUUUAGUUCAUUUUAGUGCAGCAUAGCCUUAUUUAAGCACUGAUGAACUAUGCUGGUGCCAUUGGACUAAUCUCUUAUAUCUCCUAGUUAACAGCAUGGCUGCAUCUACAGUGUAAGUCUUGCCUUUUGUUUUUGAUGGUGUACCUGCCUUCCCUAUAUGUAAUAGAUACCACAAAUCAAAAUUUAGUGAUUUUGAUGAAACAGUAUUUGGAAUUACUUGCCAAGAAUCGGACUGAACUUCAGUUCUCAUUUGCAUAGCUGAUGUACAAAAAAGAUGAUAGCUCAUAAUGAUAGCUGUGGUGUCUAAAAUAGUUGUAUACAAUAGAUGAUAGCUCUAUUUUCAUCCUGCAUUUUUCUUCUUUAAAUCAUUUUGUAAUCUCAUUGAGCAGGACGACUAUGAAGUUGUCAGGAAAGUCUUUGGGGGCAUCAUCAAAAUCAAGCCUAUGAAGAAAAGAAGGUAGCCUAUGAGGACUAUGAAGCUGAACCUGCUGCUCAGCGACUAGUACCACGAGGUCACCCUCUCCUCCAGGCCCUUCUGGUGGAAUGGCAAGCCGCAGAAAAUUAUGUUGGGAUCCCAAAGAUAAGUCACCUGGAUGCAUUGCUUAAAUGAGUGCUUAAGUUUGCUACCAGAGCAAUCAUUAAGGUAAGCAGCAUAAGAGCAGCAUGCCCUGGUCACCAGAUAUUGACAACUUUUAGUGAACCUUGGUCACCAGGUUAGGUUAUUUCAUGCCUUUUCAGUUGCAGCUAACUAAUCAUCUACAAAAUGAUUAUUCUUUUGGCUACCAGUUCAAUAAUUAUUGAAGCUCAUUUGAAGUUCAUGAUGUUCAUCAAUAGUCAUUUAAGCAGAAGUCCCUGGCUGGAAAUAAGGAUGCAGAUUAGAUAAUUAUGGUGACUUUAGAGAUAGUUGUUGAUUGAUAUGAAUGACUUCAAAAGAUUGUGUAUGUGUAUCUGUAAUGUAUAUAUGGAUAGAUCCUAUGUAUUUGUGAUGUAAAUAAGACCUAUUCCAUGUCCUA